Molecule: non-coding RNA, 226 nt
Filed under: Enterococcus hermanniensis
Lineage: Bacteria; Bacillati; Bacillota; Bacilli; Lactobacillales; Enterococcaceae
Description: T-box sequence
Rfam family: T-box leader
About the family: Uncharged tRNA acts as the effector for transcription antitermination of genes in the T-box leader family.
Source: RNAcentral
CAAACGACAAUGAAAAGAAGAGUAAUGAUUGAUUUGUUUUCAGAGAGUCUCUGUUUGGUGGGAAGAGACAGCAGUUAAUUGUGAACCACAUCUUUGAGUCGAUCAGCUGAAGUUAGUAGGUUGGUCCGGUAGAGCCCGUUAACGCAGAGGUCAGAUUGACCAGUUGAGAUCGUUCGUUGUGAGACGACGAUAAAAAAAGGUGGAACCACGUAAUUACGUCCUUUAG